GUUAUUUUUGUCAUUUUCAAUCCUAAAAGUUGCUUUUCAGAUAACACUGUCACACCACGUUCUCUUUCACUAUUCUUUUCUUCUUUUCUUCCUUAUUUCAUUUUCUCUCACUCUCUCCCAUUUCUUCUCACUCUCAAAGUCAGAUUCAAAAAAAAUUGAAUCCAUCUUCAUCUUUCUUUACCCAAUAACAAUCACUUCUUUUUGUUUUCUGAUUAUGUGCUUAUGAUUUUGUUUAUUUCUCUUUAAAGAAAUUCAAUUUACUUGCUUUGUUGUUUGCUUUUGUUGUUGUUGGAAAGGAAGGAAAGCACAAGAGAAGGAAAUCAGGGGAACAUAUAUAUGCACCCAACAAGGAGAAGGAAAGUAUGUGAGAAGGAAGAACAAAUUUAUGGAUUUUGAAGCUUUGUCUCAGAGAUAAAGAUUUUUAUUCGAGAUAAAGAAAAUGGGGAAUGAGAGAAGGGGGAAUUUCUUUAGAAUUUGAUGCCCAUAUCAACAAAUAGAUUCCAAUAAAGCUUACAUGAUCAGUCUUGCAGAUUUGGUACUAAACUUUAUGAAAGUCAAAUCUACAUGACAAGGAAGGGGUUUUAUUUUUCUGUGGUGGGGAAAUAUAAGAAGUUGAGAAUGACCCUUUUUUCAAAGUAACUCCUUAAAAAAAUUUGUUUUAAUAGAAAUAUAGAGGAAGAUUAAAGGAUAACAAAUAUGAAAUUUAUUUGCAUAAAAGGUGAUCGGAAAUGGAGAGCUAGGUGGCCGGUUUGUGGCUAGAGGCUUGAGUUUUGGGAGAAAUUGGAGAAGAAGGAACGAGAUAGAAUGAAAAGUAAUAAUGGAAUGGAGUGGGUGAGAGAUUCCCGAAAAAUAAAUCGGGAAUAAGCCCAAAUUUAAUUUUAUAUGUGUGGGUUGAAAAGUCAAAGAUGGAAAGAAAUCAUAAAAAAUCGAUUUUUUUUUAUUUGAGAACAAAUUGAUUUGUUCUAUCGGAUAAAAUUAGUGUUCUUAUUGGUCUUUAUGUGAAACAAAUCUUAGUAAUUAAAAUCAAUGACUAAUAUUAAUUUUUUUUAAUAUCGUCGAUAUAAAAUUGAGAUCAAUAUUAUCGUACACUAAUCUAACUAUGAUUAUUCAUACUUAAUUUUUUCCACAUUGUUUUUCUAGAAAUGGAUCACACCAAAAAACCCGUUGGAGUGUUAACACGGGAUCCAUAUUAGUAACUUAAAUCGUUGACUAAUAUUAACUAUUAUUUUUUAAUAUCGUCGAUA
RNAcentral lists this long non-coding RNA (1244 nucleotides) under Medicago truncatula (barrel medic). Its description in RNAcentral is "lncRNA gene1463". The record is from RNAcentral. Lineage: Eukaryota; Viridiplantae; Streptophyta; Magnoliopsida; Fabales; Fabaceae.